Pyrenochaeta sp. MPI-SDFR-AT-0127 is the source of this 87-nucleotide non-coding RNA. NCBI's taxonomy places the organism in Eukaryota, Fungi, Ascomycota, Dothideomycetes, Pleosporales, Cucurbitariaceae. The record is from the annotation of a GenBank genome assembly.
GCAUCGGUGGUUUAGUGGUAAAAUUAGCCGUUGCCACCUAUCAAAGGUCGAUUCGGCUAGCCCCGGGUUCGAUUCCCGGCCGAUGCA